AGGACGAACGCUGGCGGCGUGCUUAACACAUGCAAGUCGAGCGGAAAGGCCCUUCGGGGUACUCGAGCGGCGAACGGGUGAGUAACACGUGAGCAACCUGCCCUUAGCUUCGGGAUAGCUCCGGGAAACCGGAAUUAAUACCGAAUAUGACUGCGGCUGACAUCAGCCACGGUGGAAAGUUUUUCGGCUAAGGAUGGACUCGCGGCCUAUCAGCUUGUUGGUGGGGUAGAAGCCUACCAAGGCGACGACGGGUA
RNAcentral lists this ribosomal RNA (254 nucleotides) under uncultured bacterium. RNAcentral describes it as "partial small subunit ribosomal RNA". It matches the Rfam family "Bacterial small subunit ribosomal RNA", at positions 26 to 285 of the family's 1533-position model. The record is from RNAcentral.